This 992-nucleotide long non-coding RNA is filed under the name Anas zonorhyncha (Eastern spot-billed duck). Its description in RNAcentral is "lncRNA (ENSAZOG00000017632.1)". The record is from RNAcentral. Lineage: Eukaryota; Metazoa; Chordata; Aves; Anseriformes; Anatidae.
GGGACAAGGAUGGGGACAGGGAUUGGGAUGGAGACAGGGACAUGAUGCCACCCUGAGGCUCCUCCGUGGGCAUUUUGGGGUCUCCACGGAGCCCCCAUCGUCCGCCCCGCAGGGCUGCUGAGCGCCUACCCCCUGUUCGGCUCGUCCUUCUUCUACGUCCAGAGCUGCAGCAACAACGCCAUCGCCUCGCCCUGCAUCCUGGCCGUCAACCAGAACGGCCUCAACUUCCUCAGCAAGGACACCCACGUAGGUGGAGGGGGGCUGCAGACGGGGGGAUCCCCGCGGUCCCAUCCCCUGUGGCCCUAAAACGGGCUGGCACGGAGCCGCGGGGCUGGCGUCCCUCUCCCAGCACCAUGGAGACCCCUAAAAUUUGGCACCCCGUCCCUAGCUCCUCCUGCACCCGCUUUGCUGGGGCACCCACUCCUUGGGGAGCCAGUGGGGGACCUCGGGACUUGUUGUCCCCACCCCAAAAAAAAAAAUCCUUUCCCUUAGGAGCCGGUGGCCAAAUUCUCGCUGAAGGAGAUCCAGGCCACGCGGACGCGGCGGCCGAGCCCCGGCUCCAGCUCCCCCUACGUGGAGAUCACAUUGGGGGAGCUGCUGGCGCAGGGCAUCACCCAGCUGCAGCUGGAGCAGGGCUUGGAGCUGUGCCGCGUGGUGGCCGCGCACGUGGAGAGGCUGCUGGGCGCGCGGGAGAAGAGGCUGACGCUGCCGCCCAGCGAGAUCACCCUGCUCUGAGACCCCCCCACGGCACCCAAACAGCGCUGGAUGGACCUGGAGGGGGGAUUUUGGGGGGUUUUGGGGGGGUUUUGGGGUUUGGGAAUGGGGUCCCCCAGGCUGCUGUAUCCCCCCCUUGUGCCCCUCCGCGGGCUGUGCCCCCGAGGAUUUGAUACAAGGCUGCCCCCCUUGGCCUGUGUCUGUGUCUGUGCUGAGCUCGCUGACAGUGGGGGUGCCGAAUGGGGACCCCUCGGCCCCCCUAAUCCCUCCCAGCCCCC